Molecule: long non-coding RNA, 1858 nt
Organism: Athalia rosae (coleseed sawfly)
Lineage: Eukaryota; Metazoa; Arthropoda; Insecta; Hymenoptera; Athaliidae
Exons: 2
Source: RefSeq, a predicted model, not a curated record
CGCCGGAGACGAGGACGUAACGUGUCAACGUUACGUGGAGGUGGAAUGGUGAUAAAGUAUAAAAGUUAUUAUACGUAUACGUGAAAAUAAUACAGGCAUUUCGAGAGUCUAGUCUGCAUGCCGUCUACCAAUGCCAGACUGAGUGACGACUACCUACGUCCGGUUCUAGUCGACGGAACGACGAUUCGCUUGUCAUUAAACGACGCACUUUGCAGAUACGGCAGACGGACUACUCGAAAGAGGGACUAGGAUUUACUGAAUUUCAUACAGAUCCGCAAAACGUUGAACGGAGUCUCAUGUAUCGCAAAAAAAGAAUAAUUGAAAUUAAUCUAACUCACGCUUAAUACGCUGUAUUAUACGAGCAGAGUUCGCGAGUAAAAUCUUUGAGGAAAAAUCAAAGAGAUUAAAAUACCGAACGUAACUGCAGUUUUCUCCUUUUCGAUCGAGGGUCCAAAAGAAAUGAAGCGGUUGUUCACUUUCUAUACGGUAGUCGAUGUACGUGUCCCAAUAUACUUUUUCUUUGCACUCUCUCCCGACGUACGGCGUCGAAAAAUUCGGUUCAAUCAUUGCCAUUGGGCCGGAAUACCUAAUUGCGUUUAGAUACACACGAAUUAAUUAUGCUUUCGAUCGGAUCCGGCGCCCGCGGUAGGAAUCGGGGCGCCGCGGCGCGGAAUAGCGUAUGAGUUUUUUUACACCCGUUUAGAGGCAGCCAAUUGAAUUUUGGCAGAGAAAAAAAAAAAAAAAGAAAAAAAGAAAAAAGUAGAACAGAUUCAAAAUAUGUAUUAUACAUUUAAAUGGGUCUUUCCGCCUAUUAUACGCUUCCAUACGAAUAGAAAGCUACGAUGUGAUUUUUAUCAGUCCCAGACUAUAUGAAGAAAUGGUCCCGAUUUUCUAUGAGCCUUUUUAGUGAUCUAUUCAUAACGUAAAUAGACGAGAAAUGUAUACGACGUCUAUGCCGGCGCUCGCGUAUGGUGAAUAUACAUUUUUGAGGCCCUUGAAGUCCCCCGGUGUGUGUUCAGACUCCAGAUAAAUUAUACGAGUGAGAAAUUUAUGUACAUUUUGUUGAACCUUGACUAGCGAGAAUGACUCGCUAAAUCGAGCAUGUAAUAUAAAACGAAAUAGGAACACAGAGCCGCGUGAACAUGUCAACACACGGGUGCAUUAACGUGCCUGUAUUUUCACCCCAUUGUAAUAAGCUACGCGUCCGUCCACGUCCCUCUCGCAUGCACGUAUAACGGCGUUGCGUCGCGUCUGCGGAGCCAUGAAUGUAACUAAAUCGAUGACAAUUAUGCAUUCAUGAAUGCAGCGAUAUAUGGAGAUAUCGCAUACAUGCGUGUACUAUGAAUAUAAUCAGAAAGAGACAGAGACUAUAGCACGAGGUCGGCGGCACUCCCUUCGAUUCAGAAUCGUCGUCGUCGUAAUUAAAUACAGCUAUGUUAUUACCAACGGAGUGUGUUAACUGUACGGGUAAUACGCGUUCGGUGCUGGAAUUACCGAAAAUCAAAAUUUACUUUCAAAUGCGGAUCGCAUUUUCAAGAGGAGAAUUUAUUUCACGGUGAAUUUCUCCCUACGGAAUUCUAAUUUUAUAACAUACCAUAAUCUAUUGUACUCGUAAUGCGGAGUGACGGUAUAACAGUGGUGAGAAUGUAUAGAGAAAGAAAAGGAUCUGGAGAAGGUCGAAUAAGCUGUCGUAAAAUUCCUGCAAUUUAUAAUACCACCUUGGUAUAAUUUUACAAAACUGUAAAUGAAUACUCGAUGGACUUUCCAUUCUCAUUGUAUGUAGGUAUACGAAUAUGUUCUUCGCACGCCUAACUUCACACGAUAGAUAAAAGGAACCUCCAUUCGAAGGACCGGAGAG